UUUAAUCUUAGUUGUGAAUUUCUAUGUACACCAUUUAACUGUCUAUCUUAUUUAAAAUUUUUUAUGAUUAGUAUUUUUAUUGUUAUUACAUGAUAAAAACACGAAUAGUAUUUUAUGUGUGACUUAUUUUUAAAAAAAUUCAUAAAUUUUUCAAAUAAGAAAAACGGUGUUGGAUACAGAAACUCAUGACUGCAUUUAAA
Non-coding RNA from Oryza barthii, 200 nucleotides. NCBI's taxonomy places the organism in Eukaryota, Viridiplantae, Streptophyta, Magnoliopsida, Poales, Poaceae. The record is from Rfam.